Molecule: long non-coding RNA, 812 nt
Organism: Saccostrea echinata
Lineage: Eukaryota; Metazoa; Mollusca; Bivalvia; Ostreida; Ostreidae
Exons: 3
Source: RefSeq, a predicted model, not a curated record
UAAACUUUAUAGAUACUAAAUUUGAUCCACCACAGAGUGCUUCUCAUGCUUAAAUUGGAAUAAUGGCUUAAUACUUGGAAAAAAAAAGCCAGAGUAAUUGGACCACUCAAAACCAUUAAUUUGUUAUACAUUGUACUGCAGUCAACUUGGCAGCAAUGAACCUCUGAGCUAGUGUCAACCUAAAUGGAUGAAAUGUAAAGAUUACUUUUUACAGAAUGUCCAGGAAAUCUUCAAAUGCAGGAUGUAAGCUGACACAGAAGAAUUUCGAAAUGUUCUCUUAUAGAGGUUAAAUAAAGUGAUGUGCUAUUAUAUAUAAUACAAUCAUAACAAAUAAUCUAAUUAAAUCAAAACAGGAGCUCAAAGGAUUAGUGAACAAUUCAAAUGACUUUAAGAACAGAAUAUUGAAGUAACUGCAUGCAUGAAUAUACAAGGCAAGGAAUAUAUAUUUAAAUGUCAGUAAACUGUUAUACAUGUAUUAAAGCAUAAAAAUAUCCUCUUUGUGAAUAUUUCUAUGAAGAUGUGAUUGGAGAACACAAUACAUGUACUAGUGACCAAUGACUUGAGAAUUCCAUCUCCUUAGCCAGAAGAACUGCAGAAAAUGAUAUAUUCUACAUGUAUAAUGUGAAUUCAGUGUUUUAAUGCUGGAAUGUGGAGCUGUUGAUUAACUUGUCAGUACUGGAAUUUAAAAUACUGUGAAACAGGAAAUUAAAAUUCAACAUUCUUAAAAAUGACUGGAUAUUAGUAACAAUCAAAAAAUGUUUUUUUCAAAGAUUUGUUAUUUUUUACCAAAUAAAGUCUGUUUUGUUCAGAAA